CUCCUCCCCGUGCUUACCGCAGACAGCGCAACUCCCAGCCCUGGCUGCACAGAAAGGGGAGGAAGAGCAUCUGCCCGCGUACACCCCAGCCAGGGACCUGUGACCUGGGCUGUCUUGUUAGCAGGGAGACACGU
This is a non-coding RNA of Chelonia mydas (Green sea turtle), 134 nucleotides long. Lineage: Eukaryota; Metazoa; Chordata; Testudines; Cheloniidae. The record is from Rfam.